Molecule: ribosomal RNA, 506 nt
Filed under: uncultured bacterium
Lineage: Bacteria
Description: bacterial SSU rRNA
Rfam family: Bacterial small subunit ribosomal RNA
Source: RNAcentral
ACGCUUGGGCAGCCUACGCAUGCCAGUCGUAGGAUAGUGCGGCUACUCACUCUCAGUGGCCAACGGGAGAGUAACGCGUGAAAUAACCUGCCUUUGAAAAGGAGAUCACUGUCCGAAAAGAUAUCUAAUACCCUAUAUUGCUCUUUUGUCACUAAGGCAAAAGGUGAAAGCAAGGCUGUCAAAGGCUUCGGCUCAAAAAGGGGUUCCCGUCCUAUCAGGUAUUUGGUGGGGUAAUGGCCUACCAAGCCAAUGACGGGUACCUGGCCUUAAAGAAUAAUCACCCACAGGGGAACUGAAACACGGCCCGCACCCCUACGGGGGGCACCAUUGGGAAAUCUUGGGCAAUGGGCCCAAGCCUGACCCCCCAAUGCCCCGUGAGGAAAAAACCCCUUCGGGGUGUAAACCUCUGUCAAAUGGAAAAAUGGAACUAGGGGCUAAUACCUCCUAGUCUUGACGGUCCCACCAAAGGAAGGAACGGCUAACUACUUGCCACCACCCGCGGUAAU